RNAcentral lists this ribosomal RNA (321 nucleotides) under uncultured eukaryote. Its description in RNAcentral is "partial 18S ribosomal RNA". It matches the Rfam family "Eukaryotic small subunit ribosomal RNA", at positions 1470 to 1796 of the family's 1831-position model. The record is from RNAcentral.
CCCUUAGAUGUUCGGGGCCGCACGCGCGCUACACUGACAUGUUCAACAAGCCUCCUAGUUCGACAGGAUUUGGGAAAUCUUUGAACGCAUGUCGUGAUAGGGAUAGAUCAUUGCAAUUAUUGAUCUUGAACGAGGAAUUCCUAGUAAACGCGAGUCAUCAGCUCGCAUUGAUUACGUCCCUGCCCUUUGUACACACCGCCCGUCGCACCUACCGAUUGAAUGUUUCGGUGAAGAUUCCGGAUAGGACUUUUUUGAUUUAUUUCAAUUUUGUCUUAAAAGCUAUCUAAACCUCAACAUUUAGAGGAAGGUGAAGUCGUAACA